RNAcentral lists this ribosomal RNA (296 nucleotides) under uncultured bacterium. RNAcentral describes it as "partial 16S ribosomal RNA". It matches the Rfam family "Bacterial small subunit ribosomal RNA", at positions 524 to 814 of the family's 1533-position model. The record is from RNAcentral.
GACAGAGGUGCCGAGCGUUAGGCGGAAUCACUGGGCUUAAAGCGUGUGUAGGCGGCGGCGUAAGUACCUUGUGAAAUCCCACGGCUCAACCGUGGAACUGCUCGGUAUACUGCGUCGCUUGAGCUGUCUAGGGGCGACCGGAACAAACGGUGGAGCGGUGAAAUGCGUAGAUAUCGUUUGGAACGCCGAUGGUGAAAACAGGUCGCUGGGGACAUGCUGACGCUGAGACACGAAAGCCAGGGGGAGACGGAACUGGAUAUGACGACCGAGUCAGUCCAAGACCAAGUCUCGUGACC